This 1012-nucleotide long non-coding RNA is filed under the name Elaeis guineensis (African oil palm). RNAcentral describes it as "long non-coding RNA (EGUI_LNC014512)". The record is from RNAcentral. Lineage: Eukaryota; Viridiplantae; Streptophyta; Magnoliopsida; Arecales; Arecaceae.
CUCACAAAUGAGUUUUUCGAGAAAAAAUUUUGAUGAACAAAAAAUCCCUUGAAAAUUAUUUUUGACUAAAAAAAGCUAUUUUUUUUUGAAAAAAAUAAUUGUGUCUAGAUCUCUGGCAAUGGUACCAAAAUUUGAUCAUUAUUAUAGGCAGUUAAGAAUAAAAACUAACUUAAACUAUAUAGAUAGGAUGAGUCGGGAUCGUAUCAUCCGAGAUUUUAGAUAAUUAUUUCAUAAAAAAAAUAAUAAAAAAGAAUUGAUUAUGAAAAAUUUAAAAAUAAAAUAGCAAGAAUUAAACUGUAAGUUUAAAGGAUUUUGUGAAUGAAAACAAGCUAAAGAGAUAAUUCAAAAAUUUCAAAUCCAUCAUGUAAAAUAGAUUUUAUUUUUUAUUUUUUUUAUGUUAUAAUAUUAAUUCUUAUGAUUAGGAUAUUAGUAUAGGUUAUCUUUGAGAGGUAUGGACCAUAUCCACAGAUCACGACUCAUCCAUUUAGAGUAUAAACUAUCUAAAUCUAAUUAUAAGAUAUAGGGUUAAUCUAACAUAUUACGAUCUAUCUCUUUUAGGCACGUACCAUAUCCAGAGAUCACGAUAUGUCUAUAGAAGGUAUAAACCAUGCAGGCUAGAUUAAUACUUCAGAAAAAUAAAAAGAUAGAAAAUAAAAGUAUAAUUUUAUUAUAUAAAAAUUAUUUAUAGGCUUCAUCAUAUUUUUGAGUUGGAGGUGUUUAGCCAUGCAUAGGGAUCUUCAGCUCUUCCUCCAUAUUUUUUUUCUUUCUCCCAAAGCCUAAAACAAUAUCUAGAAAAGAAAAGAAAAGCUCUGCUGUCGCUCUCUACCCUAUUGCUUCCGCUUUCUCUGUUUUGUAUUCUCUUGAUGCAGUUCCAUCUUUUUAUAGCAUGAAAACUGGCUGAAAUCGGAUUGUAUUGGGUCUUUUAAUCCUCUUCAAACUCCUCAACUCAUGCCCGCCAUCAAAUCUUGAUCAAAAGGCUAAAAAAUAGCUUAAAAAUGUCUCAAAUCAAGUC